UGGGGAAUAUUGGACAAUGGGCGGAAGCCUGAUCCAGCAACGCCGCGUGAGGGAUGACGGCCUUCGGGUUGUAAACCUCUUUCAGUAGGGACGAAGCGCAAGUGACGGUACCUACAGAAGAAGCACCGGCCAACUACGUGCCAGCAGCCGCGGUAAUACGUAGGGUGCGAGCGUUGUCCGGAAUUAUUGGGCGUAAAGGGCUCGUAGGCGGUUUGUCGCGUCGGGAGUGAAAACACCGGGCUUAACUCGGUGCUUGCUUUCGAUACGGGCAGACUAGAGGUAUGCAGGGGAGAACGGAAUUCCUGGUGUAGCGGUGAAAUGCGCAGAUAUCAGGAGGAACACCGGUGGCGAAGGCGGUUCUCUGGGCAUUACCUGACGCUGAGGAGCGAAAGUGUGGGGAGCGAACAGGAUUAGAUACCCUGGUAGUCCACACCGUAAACGUUGGGCGCUAGGUGUGGGGCCUAUUCCAUGGGUUCCGUGCCGCAGCUAACGCAUUAAGCGCCCCGCCUGGGGAGUACGGCCGCAAGGCUAAAACCCAAAGGAAUUGACGGGGGCCCGCACAAGCGGCGGAGCAUGCGGAUUA
RNAcentral lists this ribosomal RNA (583 nucleotides) under uncultured bacterium. RNAcentral describes it as "bacterial SSU rRNA". It matches the Rfam family "Bacterial small subunit ribosomal RNA", at positions 355 to 948 of the family's 1533-position model. The record is from RNAcentral.